This is an RNA transcript of Phycodurus eques (leafy seadragon), 5542 nucleotides long. It is a transcript of the gene named SS18 subunit of BAF chromatin remodeling complex, with no coding region annotated. Lineage: Eukaryota; Metazoa; Chordata; Actinopteri; Syngnathiformes; Syngnathidae. The record is from RefSeq and is a predicted model, not a curated record. The transcript is spliced from 10 exons.
CGUAUUCCGAAGUGUUACGUCGGAGUUGUACAGAUUUGCUAAGUGUGCUCGCGACUUUUCGCGUUUUAUGAUCUCGCUUGUGUAAUUCAGCUCAAGUAUUACCAUGUCGGUGGCGUUCGCACCUCAUAGGCAGCGUGGAAAGGGCGAUAUUACCCCCGCCGGAAUACAGAAGUUACUUGAUGAAAAUAACCAUUUGAUUCAGAGUAUUAUGGACUUCCAGAGCAAGGGCAAAACAACAGAGUGUUCACAGUAUCAACAAAUACUGCACAGAAAUUUAGUGUACCUGGCCACAAUAGCAGACUCUAAUCAGAACAUGCAAUCUCUCCUCCCAGCACCACCCACUCAAACCAUGCCCAUGGGCCCGGGUGGGAUGAGCCAAAGCGGAGGCCCGCCUCAGCCCAGUCAUGGUCACAACAUGCCCUCCGAGGGUAUGGUUGGCUGCGGCCCCCCGGCCCCACACAUGCAGAACCAGAUGAAUGGACAGAUGCCUGGGCCCAAUCACAUGCCCAUGCAGGGCCCCGGUCCAGGCCCUAACCAGCCCCCGAACAUGCCCGCCGGCUCUAUGAACAUGCCUCCGAGCAGCCAUGGCUCGAUGGGCGGCUACAACCACGCUGUCCCGUCGUCGCAGGGCAUGCCAGCGCAAAGCCAGAUGAACAUGACGCAGGGCCAGCCCAUGGGCAACUACGGACCGCGACCCAACAUGAACAUGCAGCCCAAUCAAGGUCCCAUGAUGCAUCAACAGCCUCCCAGCCAGCAGUACAGCAUGCCUCCGGGCGGUGGUGGCCAGCACUACCAAGGGCAGCAGAACCCAAUGGGCAUGAUGGGCCAGGUUAACCAGAGCAAUCAUGUCAUGGGACAGAGGCCGAUGCCCCCGUAUAGACCGCCUCAGCAAGGACCCCCUCAGCAGUACCCAGGGCAGGAAGACUACUAUGGGGACCAGUACAGUCACGCAGGACAGGGAGCCUCAGAAGGUAAUGCCCAGUACGGUCAACAGCAAGAGGCUUACCAGCAAGGCCCCCCGCCACAGCAGGGUUACCCUCCUCAGCAGCAGUACCCAGGUCAGCAGGGCUACCCGCCGCAGCAGCAGGGCUACGGUCCUUCCCAGAGUGCCCCGGGACAGUACCCCAACUACCCCCAGGGACAGGGACAGCAGUACGGUGGCUAUCGCCCCCCUCAGCCCGGACCCCCGCAGGGCCAGCAGCAGCGCCCUUACGGCUACGACCAGGUGAGUAUGGGCCCAGCACUGUGAACAGCUACUACAUUUUAUGCAUACGGCUGUAGUUUGUCCCUCAUUUUUGACUUGCUGGUGUAUAUUUUGUGCAUGCUCUCAUCGUAUUUCGGCUUACUUGUGUACGUCACUAUUGCCAUUCCUGUGUUAAUCUCGGUUGUGUAUUCUGGCUAAUAUGGCAUGCCCCCUUCAGGGAAAAUAUGAGGGCUUCUUCCUUAAGUUUGCUGCAAACUGCCGUGGUUCUUCUUGCCCUGUAAUAAUAUCCUGUGGUCUCAUGUUGGGGACCAGAGCUACACUUUGAUAUCUUUAUCUUUGAAUAUUCAGGGGCACAUGAGGAAAUAAAGGCCCGGGGAUUUGAACCCCCUGACUAGCUCUAUAAGAAGCAAAGGUAAAUGGUUGCUGUGAAGACCUCAACGUCCAAUCUAGAUGUUUUGAGCACCUAGCCUCAAUUUUGCAUUUUAUGUUUUCCUUCUGUGUCUAUUCUUUCCUUCAUUUUCCUCUCCUCUUUCUUUUGUAAGGUUAAAGGAUUGCCAUUUUUAUUUCUUUUUAACACUGUUUGUUAGCCAGGGGUCGAAUUAAUAAGUAAAUGAGGUCCAGAAACGGCAUGCUUAGCCAAGAACCAAAAAACAUAAAUACAUUCUAUUUGUCUUUACUUAAUUCGUCCAAGUAAGAUUGGUAUUAUGCUUUGGAUUAAAGUUGUACUCUUAAAUUGAACACACUUCGACCCCUGUUUAGAGAUAUAUUAGCUAUUACUUCCUUGCCCUGAAUCUGUCUCACUAUAAAGUAGCAUCCUCGAGUCCAGUGUUUCUCAAAGUUGUUCACUUAAUGCAAAAAAAAAUAAAACAAUCAUAAUCGGACAGCCUACAAUCCAGGUAUACAAAAAUAAAAGCCCUGUUUACUAUUCCAACAGUGUACUUUGUGGACCUAUACGACUUAAGGCUGGACAGGCGAACAAUUCGGAGUUUGGAACUGAACUUCCCAAAAGCCAGGCAUGAAAGUUGGGUGUUUACCACAGUGUAAAAGGUAGAACCUAACUAUAAUGGACUGAAAGUACCCAUUUAUGAAUGAGUAUUAGGGUCACACUGGAAAGAAACAAAAUAUGAUACUGCAAGAACAGGGUCGUAAUCUAACUAGAGUAAAAAUCAUGCUUAAUAUUUUUUUCAAGAAACACAUUUUACAAGAAAAGUAUUUUUGGGGAAAAUGUGAUAUGAGAAUAAAGUCGAAAUUUUUAUAUGGGUGAGCGAAGGAAGGAUUUUAGGGGUGGUGUUUUCUCCCUGUGUAAAAAUGAGCAAUGUAGAGCAAUAUUGUGACGUUUUGGAAAUAAUGAAUUACUCGCGUGAGCAUCAUAUCUUAGAAGCCACUGUGUAAACAACAAGUAUCAUGAGAGAGACCGCAAAUGCUUGGCUCAGAUGGAUGAGUGACAAAGGGGAAUUUGAAAUUGACUUUUUUUGCCCUUUAAAAGUAUACAAGUAAUUGUAAUUAUAAUUUCUUCUAAAAAUGCUUUUUUUCUUUAAUUAUAUAUAAUAUAAUAUACCUUUCUUUUCUUCCUCAAAAAUACAACUUAUUGUUUCAAGAUGGCAUCUUUUUCUAAAUACACAUUUAGAAAAUGUCUUUCAUUUUUGUAUUAUACAUAGGUACUUUUUAAAGGCACAAUAUUUUUCUUUCUUGAAAAACACAGCCAUGCCUUUUUCCUUAAUGCUGUAUUCUUUUUAAAUAUGCUUUUUAAAAUUUACAAAAACAUACAUUUAAAAAACAAAGCGUUUUUUGCUGGAAAGAGACACCACCUUUUUAAAACAAUGCUUUAAGAAAAGCUUGAAAAAAAUACCACUGUUUUAUGUCAAAAGCUUUUCUUUUUCCUUAAAUGUUCCUUUAAAUAAUGGUAAAAAAGUCAUUUCCCCCGCGGAAUGUAAAAUUGUGCUCAUAGGGUAAAGACUUCUUCCUUUAAAAAAUAAAACAAAAAGACCUUUUAAAAAAUAAUAAAAUAGUUCUUUCCAGUGUGGCCCGAAUACUGGAAUGAUUGCUACACGACUUACUACUAACAGUUACUUCUGUUCUUUUCUCUUUUUACACUUGCCUGACCGUUAACUCUGCCUAAUGUGUUUAAAUUUACUCAUGGACCCCUUGUGGUUUCUUGGGGACCACCAGUGGCCCGUGGGGCACACUAUGAGAAACACUGCUCAAGCCAAUAAAGAGUCCGCCUGAAAACCUCCAGUCUCUCCAGUAGUGUUUAGAGCUCCCCACUUGUGAGGAUCUGCUCCCAUCUGCUGGUCGAUACAGGCCAACGCAGCCAUACGUCAUGGGCCAGUAUGGAAAUUACCAGCAAUGAGAAACGCCCACACAGAUGAUAUGAGAGUUACGGCAGCACAAACAAAAAUCCCCACCCCUCUGUUUUUGGGCUCAUAACCAUAAUCAUGUCAUUUCACAUGCCCCCAUCCCACCCCCCCCACCUUGUGUACAUCUCAAAGUGGCAGUGCCUUAAAGAUGGAGCUGCCUUACCCUCGAGCAUUGCGUCGACUGUACGACAAAAUUCAAAAGUGGUUCUACUGUGGUUCUUGCUUCAGAUCCCUGUUAAUAACAAGAAGCAAUAAUGCCAGCAGUAGUUGAAAAGUCUGUGUAAAGUGUAGAGGGGCAUAGAGUUUAGGUAGCAGUCAAACUUCCUGCUAUACCUGCCCAUACAGGUACACGUCUCAAAUGUAUGUCAUGAUGUAAAAAAUCUAUUUUAUUCUUUUUUUUUUUUUUUUAAGAGACGGAUGACUUUGUAUAAAACAUUGAAAGCUAGUACUAAGAUGUGUGUCAAUGUUUUUUUUUGUUUUUUAAUCCAGCACAUUGUUGUGAUCAACUGAACCAUUCAAACGAUUUCCAAUUGCUUUCCUCAAAUUGUACUUUGCAGAAGGAAAGCAAACCUGCCACUAGAACCUGUUUUUAUAAUGAAAUAUAUCUUUGCUGUACUAAAUAAGCUGUGCCAACUUUAGGGUGAAGAAAAAAAAAAGUAGUUUUUUUUCCCCCACCACGAUUUGACAAAAUGUGGCCAAAGAUGUGUUACUGUAUGUAGCGGAGACCAUUAUGAACAGAAGGCCCAAGUAAGAGACCUCUUUUACUUUUCCUUCUUUACAAGUGUAUCAGUUGUGUACAAAAGAGUAUAAAGGCCACACUGAAAAGGGAAGUUAGGAGGAAAAAAAGUGUGGAAUCCUGUACAAGCCCUCUUGGCUUCAUUCCCUCCUUGCACCGUUUUUAAAUUGUGCUAAAUAAACAAACAAACCAAAACAACUUUUAAUGUAUGAGACAUAGUUUUGUUAUGAAGGGGGGAAAACAAGUUUUAAGAAAAGUCAUGAGCAAAACAAUGUAGAUAUAAAGCCGUUAUGUUACAAGACUAACGUAACGUUUUGAGGAUAAAGUUGGAAAAUAUACGUAAAGUCGUAAGUAAUGUUUUGCGAAUAUAGUCAGUGGUGCGAGUGUAACAUUUCGGGAAUAAAGUCUUAAUGAUACGUGAAAAAGUUACAAAUCGUUAAAUUUCAACUUUAUUGUAAAUUAUUUGUUCUCUUGAUAUUACAACUACAUGUUACAACUCUUUUUGACAAUUAUAUUACAAUUUAUUUCUGGUAAAAUUAUUGCACAUUUUUCCAUACUGUUAUGAAUUUAUACUCCGGAAAUUCCACGUAUUUUUCUUAUAUUCCAAUUUUGUUUUCCUAUUUUAUUUACUCUGGUAAAAGUAGUUUGUUUUUCUCAAAAUACAUUUUGUUUCCUCCUCAUCGUUAUGGCUAUUUCUCAUACGACAAUAGCGAAUUCACUGCAAUUUUACAAUUUCAAGUUCAUGAGUGUUUCUUCUUAUACUUUUUUUCUUGCCACAUUACCAUUUUAUUCUCAUAAUAGUUGAACUGCUUUCAUUACUGUUGUUACUUUUCAGCGUGGCCCUAAUACUCCUUUGCCUAUUGACUGCAAAUAGAUGAAAUGUGAGGUCCUAUAACAGUAUUUCUGACAAUUUAUUAUGGGUUACAAUGCUGGAGUGUUUUUGAGUACAUGUCUAGGCUGUUGUCUUUUUAAGUAGUGUCGUACGUGAAUAUUAACAGUUGUCACAUAAUGUAACAUAAGAUGUGAAACAUAAUGUUCAUGUCACAUUGAGGUGCUGCCUGUGCAGUUUCCUGUCACUGGCUUGUUUGGUGGUGCGUCCCACAUUGAGAGGGCAACACUGGCCUCUCCUAUUGUUUAUAUCGUGCUGUUUUUAAAUAUUUUCCAUUCCCAUCCACAGAGCGCUCACAUUUGUGUCAUGGUAAUGUAUAACUGUACAUUCUGAUAAUAAAUUGGAGGAAUCUUUAA